This 760-nucleotide long non-coding RNA is filed under the name Manihot esculenta (cassava). Its description in RNAcentral is "long non-coding RNA (MESC_LNC000069)". The record is from RNAcentral. Lineage: Eukaryota; Viridiplantae; Streptophyta; Magnoliopsida; Malpighiales; Euphorbiaceae.
CUUCGUCAUCUCUGCCAGUUUUGUGGUGGCGGGGGUACUUUGAGAGCCCGAUCACCUACCUCAUUGAGGUCUUCCGAUAUCUGUUCUUUUCUUUUUCUGAGAGAGUUAAUACUCACAGUAAUAGAGAUAAUCAUUGCUUUGUCAAAAGGUGGUGUUAUUCCAUUCAUUCAUGUUUUCAUAGUACAAGAAUUUCUUUUUACAAAUAUUCUAAGGGAAGUACCUCUUUAGGUACUGGAUAUUCCAGGCGUGAGGCUCAGGGUUUCCCUGCAUAUCUUCGAUUCGAUAUACCCCUGGCUUGACUACUUUUGCUAUUCUGAAUGGGCCCUUCCAAGUCGGUGCCAACUUGCCUACCACCGCUCUUUUUCCUGUAGCUUCUAGGUUUCUCAGGGCCAGGUCUCCUACCUUCAGGCUUUUUUCCCUGACCCUUUGAUUGUAAUAACGGGCAGCUCUUUGUUGAUAAGCGGCGGUUCGAAUUUGGGCUUCUUCCCUAACUUCCUCCAGGGCAUCAAGGUUACUUCUCAGCUUAUCACUAUUCGCAUUCUCAUCAUUGAACUGGACCCGAUGUGUAGGAACUUGUAGCUCGAUUGGGACUACGGCCUCGGUGCCAAAUGCAAGUGCAAAAGGCGUUUCUUUAGUGGACGACCUGGAGGUAGUUCGGAGUGCCCACAAGAUACUGUUGAGUUCUUCUGCCCAAUUUGCCUUUGCCCCAUCCAGCCAUUUUUUCAACCCCUGGAGGAUAGCUCUAUUGGUGACCUCUGUC